Cannabis sativa is the source of this 2266-nucleotide RNA transcript. RefSeq lists it as uncharacterized. Lineage: Eukaryota; Viridiplantae; Streptophyta; Magnoliopsida; Rosales; Cannabaceae. The transcript is spliced from 8 exons. The record is from RefSeq and is a predicted model, not a curated record.
UUGUUUAUAUCUCUGAAGAAAGAACUAAAAUACGCUCUCGUAUAAAUAAACCUAUACUCUCUCUCUGUGCCGAACCAGACCAUUUGAGCUUCGAGAUUUCAUUCUUCUGUUAGGGUUAUUGUUUUUCUAUGUGAGAGAACGUCGAGUACAUGCUGUUCUAGUAGAAAAAUCUCAGAGAUAUACAUAUAUUCUUGUGUAUAUUAUAUACAUAUAUAGUUCUACGCUCAGUUAGUGGUUUCUUUCAACAAUGGCUACAGCACCUGUCAAGUCUCCGUUGCACAACUUCCCUCUCACAUUCUUGAAAUGGGGCGGCGCGAAGAAUCACACUAGCGGUGGUCAUCAUCGUUACCGUCGACCAGUCUCGGCUGAGAACUCUCCCGUCGCCGAUCAUGGUGAGGUUGACCCGGAUAGGAACGAUUCGGAGCCUGAAGCUGGUCGGACUAGUAAGGUCGGAUCGCGUACUGUUCGCAACAGAUUUGGGUUUGCGUCUUGCUCUUCAGCGGAGAAGGUGCAGAAACAGCAAGGGAGCAACGAGAGUGAUGAGGUUGUCAGAGAUGGGAAGCAGCAGCAUCGUGAUGGAGAAGAAGUUGAGGCUGAGGAGACGGUUCAGAAGCCGUGGAAAUUGAGGCCGAGGAAGGUUUUGUUCUCGAAACCUGCUUCGAUUGGUGUUAAGAAUGGAGAAUUUCAGGAACCAGGUGGGACUGUUACUGGCAGCGGUGUAGGAAGUGGUCAGAAUCAGAGUGAGAAUCAGAACCAGCAACAACCGAAAUCGCUGAGGCUAAGGGGAUUCUCGGAGCAGCAGAGUACGGAGAAGAAAGAGAAGAGGAAGUUUUGGAUCGCGCUGUCUAGGGAGGAGAUUGAAGAAGAUAUCUUUUUGAUGACUGGGUCAAGGCCUGCUCGGAGGCCGAGGAAGCGUCCCAAGAAUGUUCAGAAACAGCUUGACGCUGUUUUCCCUGGAUUGUGGUUGGUGGGUGUUACUGCUGAUGCUUACCGGAUCGCUGAGGCUCCUCCUAAGAGGUAGAUGAGUCCUACGCCAAUUGUGACUUGAAGCUUGAACAGGGCGAAAGGUUGCAUAUCUGACUUUGAGACCUCAAUUGAGGCUUCCCUACAUCGCUGGGGGGCACAGAGUAGCUUAAUUUUCAAAUCCUUAUUAUGAUAGAGGAUUAAUUCUCUGCUUGCUUCCUUGUUCUGGAAGAGCUCUUCUUCAAUCGGUUGUGAUUGUCAAGAUGAACCCGUUAUGAGGUUGAAAGCUCAUAAGCUGGAAGAAUGUCUUGAUUUUCUUCAUUAUUUCAAAAUAAUAUUUUCUAAUAUUGUUAUUUUUUGCUGACCAAAUUAGCCAACUGUCAGUACUCAGUAAGUAGUAUUUGAACUUAAACAAUAUAGUUAUUUCACAAUGGACCGAGUUCGAAAAUGAGAUUUUGCAUACGCUUGUGUCAGCACGUUGGGUUAAGUAUUUUUGCUAUGUAUAGGAAGUCUAUGCAUUUGGUCUGAAAGUAAUGGUUAUUAGACACUAGUUUUUGAUUACUUUGAUCACGGACAAGGCUGGUAGUGUUUCAGCUUUCAAGCUCUUUUAUCAUUUGGGUAAAAUGAUUUGAGAAUCUUCUACUGUUGCUUGAUGCUAAGUCCAAGAACCACUUCUGGUGUGCACGAGCAGUAACACUCUUCCGAUUAGCUAGCCUCGUAUCGGUGUAGCCUCUCUCAAAAGCAAUGGUUUGCACUUGUAGACAGGAAAAUGAGACAAUUUGGUUUUUGUUCAACAGCUGUGUAGAGAAGUUUGGCUGUGGCUGAAGUCAAAAAAUGUUAUUUUUGCCACCAAGAGAGUGAAGGAGCAGAUUCUGAAUGGCUCAAUCAAUUUUGUGAGUCUUGCCUAAGAAAAACAAGUUCAAUUGCCCAUUACUCAUCCGGUUGGCAAGCCAGCUUAGCUGCAGUGUGAUAAUUCUACUACAAAUUUUGAUGAAAGUAAAGAACAACAGUCAAUCAUUUUCACUGAGUUCAAUGUUUUCCCUCCUGUUAUUGUUGAUGCUCAGGAGCCAGCAAAGGCAAAAACUUGUGCUGGAAUAGGAAGAUAGAAGAUAUGUUUUAUGCAGACAUGGAGAAAAUCGAAAGAACCCAUGAAGCUCCUGCAAUAUUGGGGUAAAUUAAAGUAGUUUUUCUUUCUUUCCUCUUUUCUCCAUUGCUUCGUUUAUUUCCUUUAAUAUUAAUAAAUGUUCACUUUGAGCGUUAUGCACAAUUAAAGUAUGGAAGAAAAAUAAAUUGACACUAUUCA